CCUACGGGUGGCAGCAGUGAGGAAUCUUGGUCAAUGGGCGGGAGCCUGAACCAGCCAAGCCGCGUGAGGGAAGAAGGUACAGCGUAUCGUAAACCUCCUUUGUCAGGGAACAAAGGCGGGGACUAGUCCCCUGAUGAGGGUACCUGAAGAAAAAGCAUCGGCUAACUCCGUGCCAGCAGCCGCGGUAAUACGGAGGAUGCGAGCGUUAUCCGGAUUUAUGGGGUUUAAAGGGUGCGCAGGCGGGCUGUUAAGGCGGGGGUAAAAGGCCGGGGCUAAACACCGGAGAGCCGGUGAAACUGGCGGGCUGGAGAUGGAGAGAAGUACGCGGAAUGCGCGGUGUAGGGGUGAAAUGCUUAGAUAUCGCGAAGAACCCCGAUUGCGAAGGCAGCGUACCGGCUCCACACUGACGCUGAGGCACGAAAGCGUAGGUAUCGAACAGGAUUAGAUACCCUUGUAGUC
This 459-nucleotide ribosomal RNA is filed under the name uncultured bacterium. RNAcentral describes it as "partial 16S ribosomal RNA". It matches the Rfam family "Bacterial small subunit ribosomal RNA", at positions 338 to 795 of the family's 1533-position model. The record is from RNAcentral.